CGGGGCAUAGUGAAACGGCUAUCACGAGUCCUUUGGGAGGAUUUAUUCUGAGUUCGAAUCUCAGUGCCCCGAC
RNAcentral lists this transfer RNA (73 nucleotides) under Parcubacteria group bacterium ADurb.Bin216. RNAcentral's name for it is "tRNA-Pro". It matches the Rfam family "tRNA". Rfam says of the family: Transfer RNA (tRNA) molecules are approximately 80 nucleotides in length. Their secondary structure includes four short double-helical elements and three loops (D, anti-codon, and T loops). RNAcentral also lists the same sequence under 1 other name. The record is from RNAcentral.